CCUACGGGAGGCAGCAGUGGGGAAUAUUGCACAAUAGAGGGAACUCUGAUGCAGCGACGCCGCGUGAGUGAAGAAGUAAUUCGUUAUGUAAAGCUCUAUUAGUAGGGAAGAAAGUGACGGUACCUGAAAAAGAAGCUCCGGCUAAAUACGUGCCAGCAGCCGCGGUAACACGGAAGGAGCAAGCGUUAUCCGGAUUUACCGGGCGUAAAGGGAGAGUAGGUGGCAGAGCAAGUCCGAAGUUAAAACCCAAAGCUCAACUAUGGGAAUGCUUUAGAAACUGCUCAGCUAGAGUGCAGGAGAGGCAAGUGGAAUUCUUGGUGUAGCGGUGAAAUGCGUAGAUAUUAGGAGGAACACCAGUGGCGAAGGCAGCUUGCUGGACUGUAACUGACGUUGAGGCACGAAAGCGUGGGGAGCAAACAGGAUUAGAUACCCCAGUAGUC
RNAcentral lists this ribosomal RNA (440 nucleotides) under uncultured bacterium. RNAcentral describes it as "partial 16S ribosomal RNA". It matches the Rfam family "Bacterial small subunit ribosomal RNA", at positions 338 to 795 of the family's 1533-position model. The record is from RNAcentral.